UGGGGGAUCGUCUAACGGCAGGACGCCAGGCUCUGGAUCUGGCUAUCUAGGUUCGAAUCCUGGUCCCCCAG
This 71-nucleotide transfer RNA is filed under the name Syntrophobacterales bacterium. RNAcentral describes it as "tRNA-Gln". It matches the Rfam family "tRNA". From Rfam's summary of the family: Transfer RNA (tRNA) molecules are approximately 80 nucleotides in length. Lineage: Bacteria; Pseudomonadati; Thermodesulfobacteriota; Syntrophobacteria; Syntrophobacterales. The record is from RNAcentral.